Molecule: non-coding RNA, 84 nt
Organism: Pelobates cultripes (western spadefoot toad)
Lineage: Eukaryota; Metazoa; Chordata; Amphibia; Anura; Pelobatidae
Source: the annotation of a GenBank genome assembly
AGAGUGCAGCCAACUAUUUCCAUUGCCUAUAUAUAUAUAUAUAUAUAUAUAAAUAUAGGCAAUGGAAAUAGUUGGCUGCACACU